Long non-coding RNA from Zea mays, 423 nucleotides. RefSeq lists it as uncharacterized. The transcript has 3 exons. The record is from RefSeq and is a predicted model, not a curated record. Lineage: Eukaryota; Viridiplantae; Streptophyta; Magnoliopsida; Poales; Poaceae.
UAUAUGAUACCUAUUGUUUUUAUUGUUAUGAUUUCUUCUUAUUUGUUGUCCAAUUACAAAUAGAAAUUGUGCAGGAUCGAAAGGAACUUCAACCUGAACCAGCGAGAGUAUCGAUACAAAGACUGUCUGAAAUCUUCUAGAAACGACAUCGAAAGGAACUUCAAGCUGAACAAGCGAAAGCAUCUAUACAAAGAUUGUCUGAAAUCUUCUAAAAAAACCUAAACCCUAUCGGGAAUGGAGACGCUCUCGGCGAAGCAGGAGGGCACGGUGGACGUGAAGCUGAAGCCGACUUCUAACCAAUCCAACUCGUAGGCGGGCGGGGAGCGGAUGUGCCAACUAGAAGAGUGGUCUCUCUUGGCGCUUGCUUGACAAACGUGUGUUAUUAACCGUUGUAUAUAAUGUUAUUAAUUAAUGUCCUUUAUU